AUGUCACAGACAGGGCUGGCACAGACAGGAUGUCACAGACAGGAGUGUCACAGACAGGAGUGUCACAGACAGGAUGUCACAGACAGGGCUGGCACAGACAGGAUGUCACAGACAGGAGUGUCACAGACAGGAGUGUCACAGACAGGAUGUCACAGACAGGGCUGGCACAGACAGGAUGUCACAGACAGGAGUGUCACAGACAGGAGUGUCACAGACAGGAUGUCACAGACAGGGCUGGCACAGACAGGAUGUCACAGACAGGAGUGUCACAGACAGGAGUGUCACAGACAGGGCUGGCACAGGAUUGUUACAGACAGGACUGUCACAGACAGACUGUCACAGACAGGAUUGUCACAGACAGGAGUGUCACAGACAGGAGUGUCACAGACAGGAUGUCACAGACAGGAUGUCACAGAUAGUGCUGGCACAGACAGGAGUGUCACAGGAGUGUCACAGACAGGGCUGGCACAGACAGGGCUGGCACAGGAUUGUCACAGACAGGAGUGUCACAGACAGGAUGUCACAGACAGGAUGUCACAGAUAGUGCUGGCACAGACAGGAGUGUCACAGGAGUGUCACAGACAGGGCUGGCACAGACAGGGCUGGCACAGGAUUGUCACUGAUAGGAUUGUCACAGACAGGAUUGUCACAAACAGGGCUGCCACAGACAGGAGUGUCACAGGAUUGUCACACACAGGGCUGGCACAGACAGGGCUGGUACAGACAGGAGUGUCACAAACAGGGCUGCCACAGACAGGAGUGUCACAGGAUUGUCACACACAGGGCUGGCACAGACAGGGCUGGCACAGACAGGAGUGUCACAGACAGGGCUGCCACAGACAGGAGUGUCACAGGAUUGUCACACACAGGGCUGGCACAGACAGGGCUGGUACAGACAGGAGACAGACAGGAUGUCACAGACAGGGCUGGCACAGACAGGAUGUCACAGACAGGAGUGUCACAGACAGGAGUGUCACAGACAGGAUGUCACAGACAGGAUGUCACAGAUAGUGCUGGCACAGACAGGAGUGUCACAGGAGUGUCACACACAGGGCUGGCACAGACAGGGCUGGCACAGGCCUGUCACAGGGCUGGCACAGACAGGAGCUGGGGAUCAGCUGUGCCCCCCGUGCGACAGACAAAGCGUUGUUCUCUCUGCAGCUCCUCAGCAGCGCCUGCUGCCCCGCGCAAAGGGCACGCUGGCAGAGCGCUUUGGCAGGAGCAGGGCCGGCAGCUCUCUGAGCUCAGCUCUGAGCCGGGCCCAGCUCCCGCCCUGCGCGGGGCAGAACACACCUGUGCCCUCUGCCGCCGCUGCUGCUGCUGCGUGCCAGGCGCAGCCAGGGCUUCGCCCACAGCUUUGCAGGGCACUCACAAAGUGACGGGGAGGCUUUUGCAAGUCGGCCUUUGAUGUUUUACCUUCGGUUCGCAGAGCUUUGGAACAUUCUCAUGCCAAACACCUGAUUGAUUGCUUUUUUUCUGCUUCCCAAGCUCCCGAUGCCUCCUCCCAGCUGCUCUGUUGCACCUCCUCUCUUGUUGCAUUUGCUCCUCUUCAUCUAGAAAUAAAAGAAGCAUUAACCGCUGCGGUGCACUGCCCCUGCCAGGGAUUUUGGGGAUCUCCCAGAGCUGGCACCCCAGCACAGGGCUUGGUGUUGGCCCAGCCAGGGUAGGGCAGGGCACCAGCCUGGGCCCCCAGAGCCCCCCUGCCCCGUCUGAUGGGACAGGGAGAGAAACCAGCACGGUGAGAGAGCAGACAGAGGGCUCCAGCCUGGGCCUGGGCUGCAAUCUGGGCACUCCCACGGUGGCUGCCCAUGGCAGCACAAGGCACUUGUCACUCAGCUCGUGUCACACUCAGCCCCUGCCGCCUGUCCUGGCCUCUUCAGCCCUCCUUGGUGUUCGUCAGAGGAGUCCCAGCCAGGGAAGGAAUUCUGGAGAGGCUCUGCCCGGUGGCCAGGCACGCUCUGGGGCAGGAGCAGAGCCAGUGCCACAGCUCUGCAGCCCAGGGCAGGGAGUUCACUGCCACAGCUCCAUCCUGCCAAGUGCCCCAUUAGCAUUCUGCACCAGCCUGCCUUCCAUAAGCCGCUCUGACUCCCGAAGAUAAAAAAGUAAUAACACUGCCCUCCAUUAUUUAUGAGCUGCCUUUUUGUCUCCCGGCAGAAAUCCUUCCUGCUCCCUGCGCUGAGCUGCUCCCAGAUGUGAUGUUGGUGUUCCACCAGCACCCAGGGCUCCAGCGGGCUCCGGGAAAUCCAUCUCCUGGCCCAGGAGUCGUACUGCAGAGAUGGCAGGCACUGGUUCACUCCUGCCCUGCUUUCCUGGGUGGCCUCACAGCCCUGGGACAAUUCCCUGCACCUGGCAGGACAAAAGGUGGCAAUCAGGGGCUGCCUGGGUGGGGUCCCCACAAGGGCACUUGCCUUUUGCCCCCAUUUCAGCACUAUUAAAUCGCUGAAUUUGAAAUUAUUUUGCCUCCAAACUCUAAAAUUAACACUUCAAACCAAGCAAUUUCAGGAAAUGUAUACAAACCACCACACACGAGCUCACUGUUCAGGCUGGGCUGCAGGGGUUUCUCUGCUCUCUGGGGUCCUGUGGGUGUUUUUUUGGUAGCUAGGGGUCCCUGGUGUCUUGGCCAAGCUUUUCUGGGGGAUUUUCUCCCCCUUGGAGCUGCCAGUGCCUCCCUCCCUGCGCUCUGCCCAGAUCAGGGACUCGAGCACUGCUGUCC
Molecule: long non-coding RNA, 2713 nt
Organism: Ficedula albicollis (Collared flycatcher)
Lineage: Eukaryota; Metazoa; Chordata; Aves; Passeriformes; Muscicapidae
Source: Ensembl